Populus trichocarpa (black cottonwood) is the source of this 649-nucleotide long non-coding RNA. RefSeq lists it as uncharacterized. The record is from RefSeq and is a predicted model, not a curated record. The transcript has 2 exons. Lineage: Eukaryota; Viridiplantae; Streptophyta; Magnoliopsida; Malpighiales; Salicaceae.
UCGAGUGCAAAGAGGAAACUCUUUUUAGAACCGUUCCCACAGACGCAGCAACUAUGAAGUUGCGAUGUCAAUAAAUCAGUCGGUGAGAUCCUUCCCACACGGCGUAAUACAUCAUCACUUAUGAUGCGGCGUCACCACAUCAAAUACAUAAGCCAACUAGGGCAUAACACAAAAUCCAUCCCAUCUUUACUGAAGGUAACGAAGAGCCUUUUGAAAUUGUCCUCUCAUCUCUGUCUCUCUCCCUCUCUCCCACUCUCUGUUCCAUCGUCAUUUAAAGGGAAGAGGCAUAUUUCAGGUUUGUGCAUGAAUCUAAUAUAGCUAAAAAAAUCCCAUCAAACACAAAUUAAAAUACUAGAUAGCAAUCAGCACUAGUUUAGUAUAGUAUUAGAUUCACGCACAAACUCGUAAUCUGUCUUUUUCAAUUCCUUUCUUCUUCUAUUUUAUCUUUCCAGCAGGCAGGCCGCUCUUGUUCUUCCAUGGAUUUUCUUGUCUCUUCUGCUUCAAAUCUUGAUGUCCUUUGGCGCCGUUGGCUUUGGGGAUCAUCUUUCAGUCAAGUUCAGAAUCCCAUGUCAAUAAUUUUAGUAAUUGAACAUUAUUAAUGGUGGUUCUUUAUCAAUUACCCGUCAAGGAGAAAAACGCGAUUUGGUAA